CUUGGGUUGUAAACCUCUUUUCUCAGGGAAGAAAACGGCCGGUCCCGGAGAAAAAACCCCCGCCUACUUCCUGGCCACCACCCCCGUUAUAACGAAGGAGCCAACGUUUUUCCGAAUUUAUGGGGCGUAAACCGUCCUCAGGUGGUUUUUCAGUUCUGUUUUCAAACAGCGAGGCUUACCCUUGUACUGGGGAUGGAACUUGAAAGACUAAAUUUCGGUAGGGGUAGAGGGAUUUCCAGGGGUGACGUGGAAUUGCGUAAAUUUCUGAAAAAAAACCAUGGGCAAAGCCGCUCUCUGGGGCCUGAACUGACCCUGAGGGACAAAACCUGGGGGACCAAAAGGAAUUAAAUCCCCGUGUAUUCCCACCCUUAAACAAGGGAAACAAGGUGUUGCGCGUAUC
This 400-nucleotide ribosomal RNA is filed under the name uncultured bacterium. RNAcentral's name for it is "partial 16S ribosomal RNA". It matches the Rfam family "Bacterial small subunit ribosomal RNA", at positions 417 to 833 of the family's 1533-position model. The record is from RNAcentral.